RNAcentral lists this unclassified non-coding RNA (386 nucleotides) under Cistanche salsa. Its description in RNAcentral is "sequence contains 18S rRNA gene, ITS1, 5.8S rRNA gene". The stretch from base 270 to 386 matches the Rfam family "5.8S ribosomal RNA", at positions 1 to 117 of the family's 154-position model. Lineage: Eukaryota; Viridiplantae; Streptophyta; Magnoliopsida; Lamiales; Orobanchaceae. The record is from RNAcentral.
GUCGUAACAAGGUUUCCGUAGGUGAACCUGCGGAAGGAUCAUUGUCGAAUCCUGUAUAAGCAAACCGUGAACAUGUUUAAUCACAUUGGGAUUGCGGUGGGGGCAAUCCCUCGUCGCAUCCCCUCCCCGCAUGCUCUCACCAUGGUGGGCGUUGUGCGGGCUAACGAACCCCGGCGCGGAAUGCGCCAAGGAUUACUCAUGAAGCGUCCACCUCCUCGGCCCCGUUCGCGGUGAGUUUGGGGGAGAGGAUGAAUCUCCAAUGUCUAAACGACUCUCGGCAACGGAUAUCUCGGCUCUCGCAUCGAUGAAGAACGUAGCGAAAUGCGAUACUUGGUGUGAAUUGCAGAAUCCCGUGAACCAUCGAGUCUUUGAACGCAAGUUGCGCC